UGCCGCCUUCGCCACGCCCGCUCAAGAAACGUUAAAGGAAUUGGACCGGGGGCCCGCACAAGCGGUGGAGCAUGUGGCUUAAUUCGAAGCAACGCGAAGAACCUUACCAGGCCUUGACAUGCAGAGUAACCUUUCCAGAGAUGGAUUGGUGCCUUCGGGAACUCUGACACAGGUGCUGCAUGGCUGUCGUCAGCUCGUGCUGUGAAGUGUUGGGUUAAGUCCCGCAACGAGCGCCAACCCCUGCCGUCUGUUGCCACCACGAAGGGUGGGGACUCAGGCGGGACCGCCGGUGACAAACCGGAGGAAGGUGGGGACGACGUCAAGUCAUCAUGGCCCUUAUGUCCUGGGCCACACACGUGCUACAAUGGUCGGUACAAAGGGUUGCCAAGCCGCGAGGUGGAGCUAAUCCCAUAAAACCGAUCGUAGUCCGGAUCGCAGUCCGCAACUCGACUGCGUGAAGUCGGAAUCGCUAGUAAUCGUGAAUCAGAAUGUCACGGUGAAUACGUUCCCGGGCCUU
This 517-nucleotide ribosomal RNA is filed under the name uncultured Pseudomonas sp. RNAcentral's name for it is "bacterial SSU rRNA". It matches the Rfam family "Bacterial small subunit ribosomal RNA", at positions 903 to 1382 of the family's 1533-position model. The record is from RNAcentral. Lineage: Bacteria; Pseudomonadati; Pseudomonadota; Gammaproteobacteria; Pseudomonadales; Pseudomonadaceae.